GAUAUUGGACAAUGGGGGCAACCCUGAUCCAGCCAUGCCGCGUGUGUGAAGAAGGUCUUCGGAUUGUAAAGCACUUUAAGUUGGGAGGAAGGGCUUCAGGUUAAUACCCUGAAGUUUUGACGUUACCAACGGAAUAAGCACCGGCUACCUCUGUGCCAGCAGCCUCGGAAAUACAGAGGGUGCAAGCGUUAAUCGGAAUUACUGGGCGUAAAGCGCGCGGAGGUGGUUCAGUAAGAUUGGUGGGAAAUCCCCGGGCUUAAACUGGGAACUGCUUUCAUAAAUGCUGAGCUAGAGUACGGUAGAGGGUAGUGGAAUUUCCUGUGUAGCGGUGAAAUGCGUAGAUAUAGGAAGGAACACCAGUGGCGAAGGCGACUACCUGGACUGAUACUGACACUGAGGUGCGAAAGCGUGGGGAGCAAACA
This 422-nucleotide ribosomal RNA is filed under the name uncultured bacterium. RNAcentral describes it as "partial 16S ribosomal RNA". It matches the Rfam family "Bacterial small subunit ribosomal RNA", at positions 359 to 774 of the family's 1533-position model. The record is from RNAcentral.